Long non-coding RNA from Pygocentrus nattereri (red-bellied piranha), 927 nucleotides. NCBI's taxonomy places the organism in Eukaryota, Metazoa, Chordata, Actinopteri, Characiformes, Serrasalmidae. The record is from Ensembl.
CAGCUGUUCAGAGAAUGGCACACUGAAAUGCGUGAGACCUCGUCUGGAGACAGACGUCUGUUUCUCUGGCCUUCAAGCACCUGACCCGGGAGUGAUUCAGGGCUAUGUGAAAAAGGUGCAGGACCUGGCUGAUUCAGGGGUCCUGUUUGUGGGCUUUCUGCAGCAGCCUGGUGGGGGGCCGUGUUUUCUGGGUCACGGUGACAAUGACGAACUCUCCUCUCUUCACUCCAGUCCCUCCCCCAUACACGAACACACACAAGCCCCAGCGAUCAGCCCAACCAGCCAGGACAAACAUAUCAACCACUGCAAGAAUGAGGACAACCAAAUGCAGAGCUAUAAAAACAAGGCCUCUCCAAGCCAGGACUAUGGAAGUGAGGCCAGACUGCAGCAAGAGCAAGAAACCUGCCAAUGCCAGAAUCACCAGAAGUCUUUUCCUGUUCAACACCAAAGUUCAGACCAUCAAUACCCUGAGGCUGGUAGACAAGAGGACGGAGACAGAGGACAGAGGACAGAGGACGACACACACCAAGACAGAACAGAUGAGCCCAGAUCCAGCUCAACAGAACCAAAUCUGGCUGAAGGGGAUUGUCCCCUUCAGGCAAACAGUGAAAGCCAAAGGCCAGAGAACCCAGAGUGGAUCAAGAAUCCUGACAAAGCUGGAAAACAGCCUGGAACCACCCAGUCCCUCAACCGUGUGCAGGUGUUCGCUCUCUAUAACCAUGCUGUGGUGCUCUCUGGGUCGCCAAGGUUCUAUUCUUUGAGAAUUCCACUGCAGGUGCACGAGGAGGCAGGGCUGAUCACUACAGUCGACACUCACUGGCUUGAUCACAUGACCCAGCACUUCAGAAGCGGCGCCCAACUCAUUGAUGGCUACUUUCAUAUAGGAGAUGAUGCGGGUAUGGCAGCUAGCAACGGAUGAAAGGCGGC